GACGAACGCUGGCGGCGUGCUUAACACAUGCAAGUCGAACGGAAAGGCCCUGCUUUUGUGGGGUGCUCGAGUGGCGAACGGGUGAGUAACACGUGAGUAACCUGCCCUUGACUUUGGGAUAACUUCAGGAAACUGGGGCUAAUACCGGAUAGGAGCUCCUGCUGCAUGGUGGGGGUUGGAAAGUUUCGGCGGUUGGGGAUGGACUCGCGGCUUAUCAGCUUGUUGGUGGGGUAGUGGCUUACCAAGGCUUUGACGGGUAGCCGGCCUGAGAGGGUGACCGGCCACAUUGGGACUGAGAUACGGCCCAGACUCCUACGGGAGGCAGCAGUGGGGAAUAUUGCACAAUGGGCGGAAGCCUGAUGCAACAACGCCGCGUGCGGGAUGACGGCCUUCGGGUUGUAAACCGCUUUCGCCUGUGACGAAGCGUGAGUGACGGUAAUGGGUAAAGAAGCACCGGCUAACUACGUGCCAGCAGCCGCGGUGAUACGUAGGGUGCGAGCGUUGUCCGGAUUUAUUGGGCGUAAAGGGCUCGUAGGUGGUUGAUCGCGUCGGAAGUGUAAUCUUGGGGCUUAACCCUGAGCGUGCUUUCGAUACGGGUUGACUUGAGGAAGGUAGGGGAGAAUGGAAUUCCUGGUGGAGCGGUGGAAUGCGCAGAUAUCAGGAGGAACACCAGUGGCGAAGGCGGUUCUCUGGGCCUUUCCUGACGCUGAGGAGCGAAAGCGUGGGGAGCGAACAGGCUUAGAUACCCUGGUAGUCCACGCUGUAAACGGUGGGUACUAGGUGUGGGGUCCAUUCCACGGGUUCCGUGCCGUAGCUAACACUUUAAGUACCCCGCCUGGGGAGUACGGCCGCAAGGCUAAAACUCAAAGGAAUUGACGGGGCCCCGCACAAGCGGCGGAGCAUGCGGAUUAAUUCGAUGCAACGCGUAGAACCUUACCUGGGUUUGACAUGGAUCGGGAGUGCUCAGAGAUGGGUGUGCCUCUUUUGGGGUCGGUUCACAGGUGGUGCAUGCCUGCCGUCAGCUCGUGUCGUGAGAUGUUGGGUUAAGUCCCGCAACGAGCGCAACCCUUGUUCACUGUUGCCAGCACGUUAUGGUGGGGACUCAGUGGAGACCGCCGGGGUCAACUCGGAGGAAGGUGGGGAUGACGUCAAGUCCUCAUGCCCCUUAUGUCCAGGGCUUCACGCAUGCUACAAUGGCUGGUACAGAGAGUGGCGAGCCUGUGAGGGUGAGCGAAUCUCGGAAAGCCGGUCUCAGUUCGGAUUGGGGUCUGCAACUCGACCUCAUGAAGUCGGAGUCGCUAGUAAUCGCAGAUCAGCAACGCUGCGGUGAAUACGUUCCCGGG
RNAcentral lists this ribosomal RNA (1343 nucleotides) under uncultured bacterium. RNAcentral's name for it is "16S ribosomal RNA". It matches the Rfam family "Bacterial small subunit ribosomal RNA", at positions 28 to 1378 of the family's 1533-position model. The record is from RNAcentral.